Molecule: long non-coding RNA, 603 nt
Organism: Gossypium arboreum
Lineage: Eukaryota; Viridiplantae; Streptophyta; Magnoliopsida; Malvales; Malvaceae
Exons: 4
Source: RefSeq, a predicted model, not a curated record
CACAACUGUCCCUCUUUUCCUACACUCUCUCACGUCCCACAUUCUCAUUUUUCCCAUUUUCUUCCCAUUUUGAUUUUCAAUACUUUUUGCUAUUGUAAUUUAUCUGUUACUUUUUCCUCUAUUGUUUUAUUUAUCUCUUUCAUCUUAUUUCAUAUCCUUUCUCUUAAACAAUCUAUUUUUUAUUCUUUUCGAAGACACCAUUUGCUAAGGUUCUAUCGUUGCUUGUCUUUACUGUUGCUGUCUCUUCUAUUUUUUUUCCGUUGGAAUGUUUCGUGAGGCGUAAAACGUUCUCCAAUGAGUGAGGGGAUUCUCUUUUGGGGCUGCUGUUUGUUUGGAGUUUGGAGGGGUGACGAACUGUCGUGUUUCAAAAUCAGUAAGGCGUCUUUAGACUUAGGACCAAAUGACGUGGGGGAUCUUUGAUUGAUUUUCUGGUUGAGUAAAUAAAUCGGUUUAUGAUUAGUUUAUUUAUGAUCUUUUGGUUUGUAAAUUUAUUUUAUGGUUUCUGUUCAUUUUCGUCAGGUUUUGCUAUUUUUAACGUAAAACGAUGAUAAUGUACGAUUUAUCAGAUUCAAAAUCAGUUUUCAAAAUUAAAAUCGAUAAAAA